AGAGAACUAGAGAUGCACACGACAUAAUUCGUCAGUAAAUGUAAUUAAUUCUACACUACAACAAAAACGGUCUAUAGCGACACUUUUAAAUAUAGGUAUAUGUCAAAAAAGUGCUGCUAGCUAAAAUUACCGACACUUUUAAAAAGUGUUGCUAUAUGUGGCGUCGCUAGGUACAUAGUAACAGUUAAAGAGUGUCGCUAUAACCUAAAAGAGUGCUGCUAAUUUAUCAACAACUUAUUUAAGCAUUUAGCAACCGCCGAAACUCUAUCUCGUUGGCUGCGGUGGCGGAGGAGGACGACAGGAAUGGCUUUUCGUCUAGAAUUUCAGUAGAUUGAGUGAAGAGAGAAGAAAAAUAGUAAUUAAUUUUUCUUUUUUUUUCUUUUCUGUUUGUAAUCAGGUCAAAUGGACUGGGUGUGGUGGGUUGAGUAGAGUAAUCUUUUAUUUUUUAUUGGAUUGGGCUUUAUAUUUAGGCAUUAGUAGAUGUUUUUUUAAGUUUUAGUAUAAAUGAGACACUUACUCAAAAAUGUCCCAAACAUGUGUCCCUAUAACCUAAUUCUGUUGUAGUGCUACUUGAUAAAGCAUGCCUAGUUGCUAGGAAUGGCCUCAAAUAAGA
RNAcentral lists this long non-coding RNA (613 nucleotides) under Ananas comosus (pineapple). RNAcentral's name for it is "long non-coding RNA (ACOM_LNC021317)". The record is from RNAcentral. Lineage: Eukaryota; Viridiplantae; Streptophyta; Magnoliopsida; Poales; Bromeliaceae.